Molecule: ribosomal RNA, 468 nt
Filed under: uncultured bacterium
Lineage: Bacteria
Description: partial 16S ribosomal RNA
Rfam family: Bacterial small subunit ribosomal RNA
Source: RNAcentral
GACGAACGCUGGCGGCGUGCUUAACACAUGCAAGUCGAACGGAAAGGCCCUGCUUUUGUGGGGUGCUCGAGUGGCGAACGGGUGAGUAACACGUGAGUAACCUGCCCUUGACUUUGGGAUAACUUCAGGAAACUGGGGCUAAUACCGGAUAGGAGCUCCUGCUGCAUGGUGGGGGUUGGAAAGUUUCGGCGGUUGGGGAUGGACUCGCGGCUUAUCAGCUUGUUGGUGGGGUAGUGGCUUACCAAGGCUUUGACGGGUAGCCGGCCUGAGAGGGUGACCGGCCACAUUGGGACUGCGGGACGGCCCAGACUCCUACGGGAGGCAGCAGUGGGGAAUAUUGCCCAAUGGGCGGAAGCCUGAUGCAGCAACGCCGCGGGCGGGAUGACGGCCUUCGGGGUGUAAACCGCUUUCGCCUGUGACGCAGCGUGAGUGACGGUAAUGGGUAAAGAAGCACCGGCUAACUACGUG